This 494-nucleotide ribosomal RNA is filed under the name uncultured bacterium. RNAcentral's name for it is "partial 16S ribosomal RNA". It matches the Rfam family "Bacterial small subunit ribosomal RNA", at positions 28 to 507 of the family's 1533-position model. The record is from RNAcentral.
GACGAACGCUGGCGGCGUGCUUAACACAUGCAAGUCGAACGGUGAAGCGCCUCUCUUUUUGGUGGGUGUGGAUGAGUGGCGAACGGGUGAGCAACACGUGAGUAACCUGCCCCCUUCUUUUGGAUAACCGCAUGAAAGCGUGGCUAAUAUGGGAUAUCCUGGGUCUGUCGCAUGAUGGGUCUGGGACAGAUAUUGUUUCGGUGGGGGCUGGGCUGGCGGCCUAUCAGCAUGUUGGGGGGGUGCUGGCCUAUGACGGCGGUGACGGGUAGCCGGCUUGAGAGGGUAGACGGUCACAGUGGGAGUGAGACACGGCCGGGACUGCGACGGGAGGCAGCAGUGGAGAGUAUGGAACAGUGGGCAAAAGUCUGAUACAGCGGCGCCGCGGAAGGAAUGGAGGCGUUCGGGUGAUGAACGUCUUUCGCUAGUGAAGCAGGCCUGCCUCGUUUGUGGGUGGGUUGACGGUAGCUGGAAAAGAAGCGCCGGCUAACUACGUG